Long non-coding RNA from Coregonus clupeaformis (lake whitefish), 524 nucleotides. RefSeq lists it as uncharacterized. NCBI's taxonomy places the organism in Eukaryota, Metazoa, Chordata, Actinopteri, Salmoniformes, Salmonidae. The record is from RefSeq and is a predicted model, not a curated record. The transcript is spliced from 3 exons.
UGUCAAAUGGCACAUCCUGCUCUCUGCUGUGCGGAUAUUUGAAAGAUCCAUUGGUAUUACUAUAUUUUCAUCAUGGACUACAUGCAAAGUGUAGCUACAGCUUUCAAUACCAGUGGUGUCCUGAAUAUAGCUGCUAAUAUUGACACAGCUCUGUCUUCUGUGGCUAAAGCAGUCUGGACUGGUUGAAGCUGAGUGGGAAGGAUUAUUCUAAAAGUGUUUCAGUCUGCCGUGAAUCAUCCUAAUCCAUACAUCGAGGAAUAAAUGAGAACUUUGAAAUAACAGAGGAACUUCUUGCGAUGGAAUCAAUGAUGGGAACAACCAGGGGCUCUGAUUUAUAUGACAGGGUGUCUGCCUGCUUGGAAAAAAUGAAUCUACCGUGGAGAAAACUGAAAAACGUCACAGCAGAUGGAUCACCAAAUCUAACCGCAUAAACCUGCUCUCCGCCACAAGUACAAGGAGAUGAUCGAGGGUGAACAAGCAGUACGUCAGAUAUUUUGUCUUUGUAUGUUUACUUAUUGCUUGGA